UACGGUCACACUAAGUCACAUUAAGUUCCAUUGCAUUCUUAAUCAAGUUCCUUUAAACAAAGUGGCAUAAUUAUCAACAAGAUGAAGACGCUUAUAUUCUCUGUUUGCAUUUUUGCACUUUUUUUUGAUGUUGGAAACUCAAGAAAGAUAGGAAAGAAGCUAGGACCAACCGAUAAUACUGAGAAUUACAAUACUUGUUUAGAAGAACAUCAAAUGUCUAAUGAUGACAUAUUCACAGUAAACGAUAUAAUUCAUGAUAGGCACAAAAAAUCCGAAAAUGAGGAAAAAGCAAAAAAAAUGCUUGCAUUAUCCAAUGCUUGUUAGAAAAAGCGGAAUUGAUGGAAGGUUCCGAAUACAACAUAGAAAAAAUGCGUGAGGUUUACAUGGCAAGAUCAAAUAUACAAUCAACAGAACAUCAACUUUAUAAAGAUUUUGAAAAUUGCUUAAAUGAAUCAAAAGACAUGACAGACAAAUGCGAAAAAAGUUUCGCUCUUACGGAAUGUAUAUUAAAAGCUGAGGAUAAAGUUUCUCCACAUUCUGCUGAAAGUCAUGAAGAAAAUGAACACGCUGAAUAAUAAAAUUAAAAGCAAUCACGUAAUAAAUAUGUAGUUGAUAUACGAAUCUUCAGCAUUUCUCCAAUAAAAAGUUAUAUUAGUUUAGCUUUUUGUCAUUUGUCAUUGAAUGUAUUACAAUAAUAUGAAAAAAAAUUUAAUAAAAUAUUACGCCAAUUAUACAAAAA
Pogonomyrmex barbatus (red harvester ant) is the source of this 739-nucleotide long non-coding RNA. NCBI's taxonomy places the organism in Eukaryota, Metazoa, Arthropoda, Insecta, Hymenoptera, Formicidae. The record is from RefSeq and is a predicted model, not a curated record.